UGGGGAAUAUUGCGCAAUGGGGGAAACCCUGACGCAGCAACGCCGCGUGGGUGAUGAAGGUUUUCGGAUCGUAAAACCCUGUCUUCUGGGACGAUAAUGACGGUACCAGAGGAGGAAGCCACGGCUAACUACGUGCCAGCAGCCGCGGUAAUACGUAGGUGGCGAGCGUUGUCCGGAUUUACUGGGCGUAAAGGGUGCGUAGGCGGACCUUUAAGUGAGAUGUGAAAUCCCCGGGCUUAACCUGGGGGCUGCAUUUCAAACUGGAGGUCUAGAGUGCAGGAGAGGAGAAUGGAAUUCCUAGUGUAGCGGUGAAAUGCGUAGAGAUUAGGAAGAACACCAGUGGCGAAGGCGAUUCUCUGGACUGUAACUGACGCUGAGGCACGAAAGCGUGGGUAGCAAA
This 400-nucleotide ribosomal RNA is filed under the name uncultured bacterium. RNAcentral describes it as "bacterial SSU rRNA". It matches the Rfam family "Bacterial small subunit ribosomal RNA", at positions 355 to 772 of the family's 1533-position model. The record is from RNAcentral.